GCAUAUCAAUAAGCGGAGGAAAAGAAACCAACAGGGAUUGCCCCAGUAACGGCGAAGUGAAGCGGCAACAGCUCAAAUUUGAAAUCUGGCUCUCGGGCCCGAGUUGUAAUUUGUAGAGGAUGCUUUUGGUGAGGUGCCUUCCGAGUUCCCUGGAACGGGACGCCAUAGAGGGUGAGAGCCCCGUCUGGUUGGACACCGAUCCUCUGUAAAGCUCCUUCGACGAGUCGAGUAGUUUGGGAAUGCUGCUCUAAAUGGGAGGUAUAUGUCUUCUAAAGCUAAAUACCGGCCAGAGACCGAUAGCGCACAAGUAGAGUGAUCGAAAGAUGAAAAGAACUUUGAAAAGAGAGUUAAACAGUACGUGAAAUUGUUGAAAGGGAAGCGCUUGUGACCAGACUUGGGCUUGGUUGAUCAUCCGGGGUUCUCCCCGGUGCACUCUUCCGGCCCAGGCCAGCAUCAGUUCGCCCUGGGGGACAAAGGCUUCGGGAAUGUGGCUCUCUCCGGGGAGUGUUAUAGCCCGUUGCGUAAUACCCUGUGGCGGACUGAGGUUCGCGCAUUCGCAAGGAUGCUGGCGUAAUGGUCAUCAGUGACCCGUCUUGAAACACGGACCAAGGAGUCGUCUUCGUAUGCGAGUGUUCGGGUGUCAAACCCCUACGCGAAAUGAAAGUGAACGCAGGUGAGAGCUUCGGCGCAUCAUCGACCGAUCCUGAUGUUAUCGGAUGGAUUUGAGUAAGAGCAUACGGGGCCGGACCCGAAAGAAGGUGAACUAUGCCUGUGUAGGGUGAAGCCAGAGGAAAACUCUGGUGGAGGCUCGCAGCGGUUCUGACGUGCAAAUCGAUCGUCAAACAUGGGCAUGGGGGCGAAAGACUAAUCGAACCUUCUAGUAGCUGGUUUCCGCCG
This 897-nucleotide ribosomal RNA is filed under the name Fusarium solani. RNAcentral's name for it is "LSU rRNA". It matches the Rfam family "Eukaryotic large subunit ribosomal RNA", at positions 38 to 963 of the family's 3401-position model. The record is from RNAcentral. Lineage: Eukaryota; Fungi; Ascomycota; Sordariomycetes; Hypocreales; Nectriaceae.